GAUGAAGAACGCAGUGAAAUGCGAUAAGUAAUGUGAAUUGCAGAAUUCAGUGAAUCAUCGAAUCUUUGAACGCACAUUGCGCCCGCUGGUAUUCCGGCGGGCAUGCCUGUUCGAGCGUCAUUUCAACCCUCAAGCCCCCGGGUUUGGUGUUGGGGAUCGGCUCUGCCUUCUGGCGGUGCCGCCCCCGAAAUACAUUGGCGGUCUCGCUGCAGCCUCCAUUGCGUAGUAGCUAACACCUCGCAACUGGAACGCGGCGCGGCCAUGCCGUAAAACCCCAACUUCUGAAUGUUGACCUCGGAUCAGGUAGGAAUACCCGCUGAACUUAAGCAUAUCAAUAAGCGGAGGA
RNAcentral lists this unclassified non-coding RNA (346 nucleotides) under soil metagenome. RNAcentral's name for it is "partial contains 5.8S ribosomal RNA, internal transcribed spacer 2, and large subunit ribosomal RNA". The stretch from base 1 to 120 matches the Rfam family "5.8S ribosomal RNA", at positions 35 to 154 of the family's 154-position model. The record is from RNAcentral.